This 5801-nucleotide long non-coding RNA is filed under the name Olea europaea (common olive). RNAcentral describes it as "long non-coding RNA (OEUR_LNC010669)". The record is from RNAcentral. Lineage: Eukaryota; Viridiplantae; Streptophyta; Magnoliopsida; Lamiales; Oleaceae.
UAUUAUAAUACUUACAUACGGUUUUAACACUUAAACACUUUAGCCCCCAUUUGGUGAGACCUUUUCGUUGCUUCUUUUCUGCAACUUUGCUGCCCCUUCUGUGCGUUCCCUUUUGUGAUACCUUCUGUGCCUCACCUUAUCGACAAAUUGGCUACUUGGUUCUUUCUCUUUCUACUUUGGUUUUUUCCCUGUUUUGCGGCUGCAUGCGGCCGCUUCUGCGUGAUUCGUUGGGCGGUUUCCUUUGUGGUUGAGCGUGAUUCUUGGUUCCUUCUUGUGGAGUUGCUUUGUAGUUAUUGGGUUAUUGAUCUGAGCCAUGUUCAACCAUUUUGCUGUCAAUCUUUGUGAUAAUUUAAUAGGAAGUCUUUAUCUUUAAUUCACAAUAUUAAUUCUAUUAUUAUUAUUAUUUAUUUGGAACUCACUGUAUGUUUGUUUGAUCGAUCGAAGGUUAUAUAUACUUCACAAACUGGUAUCAAAGCCUCCAGUGGGUCGAUUGCUUGCUGUUUUUCAAUAUUUGAUAGUUGAAAAUCGAAAUUGCUGUGUUCCGUUCAAUUGGGGCUUUGGUCUACUGAUUUUGCAAUAAGGACCUGAUUCUUAAUUAGAUUCGCAUCUCUCAUUGGUACGGACUACAAAUAGGUCGCUCUGAUAAAUUGGUUGAAACUCUUUAAAUUACUUCAAUAGCAAGUAAUCGUGUGUGGUGAUCAAUAGAAUUGCAGCCUUGCCUGAUUCUAGUAUUUUUAGGACUAUUUGUCUAAAUUGUAAUAUUAUCAUGUUUGUGGUUAUAUUGAUCGUUGUUUGAUUUCCAUAUUAUUUUUUAGCUCUUUGUGAUUAGAACUAUUACCUUUGACCUUACUCAGUCGAAAUUUUUUUUGAAACUAAGGUUCGAAUCUCAUGACAAUCCUAGGAAUUUAGAUCGGUGUCUAGCUCGACCUAUAAGACAUUCUUUGUGUGGUUCUCUUUUUGAAAGUUGCUUACACGCUACGUGUCUUAUUUGUUAAUAUGUUUGCACAUAUGGAUAACAAGGAGCCGAGCCAGCUCGCCACCAAAACUUGAAGCUUGAGCUCGGGUCUAGUAAAAAUGGUUUGAGCUUAUUUUGACUCGAGUCGAGUUCAGCUUUUGCUCAGCCAAAAAAUUUAGACUUGACCAGAGCUUUCGGAUUUGGCUUUAGCGAGCCGAGCUUACUUGCUUUUUUUUUUUUUUUUAAAUUCGUGGCGAAUCUAACGUUUUUUUUAAAGAAUUUAAAUUUUGUGCAAUUUAGACAAAUUAUAAAUUAAAUAAAAAUUACAACAUCCUCUUUUUUUGGGCUUGGAACCGACUAAAUUGUACAAGAAUAAAAUACUUCGUAUGCAAUUUUUUUUCAAACAAAUAAAUUUAAAAAUUAUGUAUUUUUUUUUUAAACUAAUCAAUUUAAAAACAUACAAUAUCCUAUGAUUUAAUCUACUGCAACUCUUUGACCAUUGUACUGUCAACUUCUUGAUCUUUUAGUGUCAAGUACUUCUUUCUCUUCAAUAUCCUCAAAUCAAUUGGAAUAUUUUGAAAUGCAUCAUAGUGAAUGAAGUACUUGAAUUACCAAUACACUAAUUAAUUUCGUUACUAAUAAAAUCCAUACGUGGCUAUUAUGGCAAAAGAUGAAUAUUAAAGUAAAAGAAACUGAAUAUUAAAAAAAAAUAUAUUGGAGAUUGAAGUUGAAACUAGAAUAUUGGAAGUUAAAAAUGAUUGAAGUAAAUUGAUAUGAAGCUCAAAAUUUUAAUAUAGCCAAAUGUGUUUCAAUCAAAUUUGAAUUUACAUAUGAAAUAUGGUACCAUAAAGCAACUACAUAGUGUAACUGCCGACUGUGUAUAGUCGGCAGCUUUUAUGAGCUGAAAAUGGCCUGUAUGGCUCAUCGAGCUACAUAAACUGGCUUGGGAUCGAGUUGGUGCCCCAAAAUGAGGCUUAACCAGAUCCACGAGCAAGGCCAGCUCAACUUUUAUCGGACCAAGCUAUUGCCAUUCAAGCUGACAAGCCAAAUUGAGACUCUAUCUGUGUAUCAUUCUGACUUGAGUGUCUUUAACGAUAAAUGUUAUUUUCUAUUUGGCAACAAAAGAUAAAUGUGAUUUUAGUAUAGCAAAAAGUUUGAAAAGUCAUUGAUAAUUCUUUUGCUACAAUUGUGUCUAAGGACCAGAAAAAUAAGGUUGGCAAACUUGCUUAUAUCUCUAUAAUAGUACACUUAUCAGAUACUAUUUUGCAAAAAGUUUCAUGGUGCUAUCAAAAAACUUAAGAAAAAGCUUGAGGAGCUUUAUUUGAUUCAAUUCAUGCCAGAGAAAUUCUUCUUACUUGAAAGCUUUUUCAGUUUCAAAAUUGAUCCCUCAAAAGAUUUAGAUGACAAUCUCGACAUUUUCAAUAAAUUGGUCCAAGAUAUUAAAAAUGUUUCAAAUAAAUAGAAAGCUAUUAUUCCUUUGAAUGUUAUUCCUAAUAAUUAUAAGGAUGUCAAGAAUGCAAUCAAAUAUGGGAGGGAGAUCCAUAAAUCCAAUAUAGUUUUUGAUUCCUUAAAGGCUAGGGAGAGGGAAAUCAAACUUGAAAGAAACGAGAGAAAAGUGGGAGAGAUUCACCAAAUAAGGGGUAGAACUCAGUUUAAGGAUGGAGAAGGGCAAAACAGUCGUGCUAGGAAAAAGUGGAGACGUUGAUCUAAGUCACAGAGAAAGACCAAGGAAAUGUUAUGGUUGUGGAAAAUUAGGACAUUUCAUAAAUGACUGCCAAAAAGAGAAACAACUUGAGAGAUCAGAGAGGUGAUGAACCCAAUGGGGCAAAGGUUGUUGUCAAAAGAGAUGAACACGUUAAGAUUUAAAUGCACUUAAAUAUAGAACCAGUUGAAAUAAGUCUAUCUAUAAACUCCCAUAUGCAAGAGUGGAUUCUUGACUCCAAUACUUCUUUCAUGUUAUAUCAAGAAUUAAAUUAAAAACUUAUUGGACUUACGCCCAAUAUUUAAUCUAAAUCUUCAGUCCAAAAAAACUCUAAAGGUCCAACAGUAGCAAUCUAAACAACAAUAGGUCUCUGUCAUCGUACUUAUAGAAAUUAAUUAAUUCUAAACCCAACUUAUCUAGAUUUGACCCAGUUCAUACCUAAACAAACCCAAAAAAGUCGAAGAAUUUACAGCACCAAAUGCAACAAGUUAUUGCACGGGCAGCAAAUUGCUGUUGUCUGCAUAGAAAAUUUAAUUAUUAUUAUUAUUUUUUGCUUUAAUUCUUGAAUGCUUCUUUAUCGUUUAUUCUUCAUUUUCAAUCAAUUAACAAGAUCAAACAACUAGGAAAAUUUAAAAAUUACAUAAAUCUUAUAUUAUGAAGAUUCACAAUUGUAAAUCUAACUUGAAAGAAAAUUAAAUCAAGAUAAUGGAGUAAUAAUCCACUAUCUUGUUAGAGACUCGAAAUAACGAAUUACAUCAAGAACUGCUCACAAAUAAUUGGAUCACAAUUUAAAAUAAACCAAUCAUUUCAUCAACAUAUAAUAUAUUAUUCUUAGACAUCACUUGACUAUGACAUGCAAUCAAGAUUCAAAAAUAACAAGCACGUGAACGAUUUAGAUUGCUCUCAUACCAGUUGAGGGAAUACGAAAAUAGAAUUAACUAGAAAUUUUUAAAAAACUAAUUCAAUAAAUAAGAUCGUCUAGAUAUUCAUAUAAAUGUUGUAUAUAAAAAAAAUAAAGGAUUUAAGUUUUUAUCUAAAUUUGAUAGUUAAUUCUUGAAUUAAUUUUGAAUUACGAGCUUCUAACUUUUUGGAUCACAAGCUUCUAGCUUUUUAAUUCCAAUAACUUGGUACUUCCAACCUCUAAGUCUUUUAUGAUAUUCUUCAAAGUCAAGACCAUAUCAGCAAGUGGACACCUUCUUUUAAUUAAAUCAAGAAACUAAUUCUUGGACUCGAUGAUUGAAUAAGAUAAGAAAAUAGUUAUUUUCUCUCACUUUUUUUCUCUAUAAAUUUGAACAUUGUGAAAUUAUGUAUUAUGAUUGUUCUUUUUUGUAGGAUGUUCAAAUUUCAUCUAAUUUCAAUUUAUAGAGAUAUAAUAGUUUCAAUCAUUGUACAAUAAUAAUUUCACAUUCAAAUAUGAGUCUUAAUUAAAAUUCAAGUAAAGUCACAUCCGAUUAGUUUAAAUUUAAUUAUAUUUGUAAUACUAGAAUUUCAAUUACAAUUAUAAUUAAGUUUACAACUUCAUAGCAACUACAAUUAAGUACAAAACUUUUAUUGUAAUUACAAUUAAGCUCAAACUAUUAUAAUUACGUCACAAGGACCUAAUCAAACAUAUAUCAUUCAAUCUCCAAUAAUUAGAUCUUGUUUAGUCGACCCUUGCCCACCCAAUCUAUUAUUAGUUUUUUUCUUUUCCACUAAAGACAAAAGAUUGAACUCUUGGAAUAUAUAAGAUCAUAAAAAUCAAAAAAUUUGUAAUACUUUCCUUUGACUUACCGUUUUACCCCUCUAGUUAUUCUUAUUAACUUGUGUACUGUUUUCUUCAAUGGUCUUAUGAACUAAUCACAUAUGUCAAAAUUUAACCCUCGUAAAAUACUGAGCUAUAAUUUUAACCAUUAAACAAAACAUACUUAAGUAGUUAUUCUACCCAUUUUCCAGUAUGACGGUUCCUGAUACAAAUAUAUAUUCUUUACUUCGCUCAUUCUUAAACUCCCAACUCAUUAAGAUAUUUGACCAGUCAAAUUGAUCUCACCCAUUGAUAAAUUAAAAGUAAUUAAAAUUAUGAAAAGAUAUACAUCACUCUGUCAAGGGAUUUAAAUUAAAUACAUAGUGAGCAAGUAAAAUUUAAUUCUCGACACAUACUCCGUUCAACAUACUUCAAGUGUAAUAAUGUCACCUUUGACUAUUUAUGCAAUAAAGACAAAUCACAAAUUUGAUAGUGUAUUGAUCAACACUACAACCUUCUACUGUAAGAUACCAGUAUCCAACUAUGUUACAUUGUACUUCUUAACGCAAGUACUCAACUUAUAUUAUUAUAAGUGAUUAUAGGAACUUUAAUUCGCAUGCUUAAUAAUAAAUAAAUACAAUAAAUAAAUAAAAUCACAAUUUAUUUAUUAUAAAUUAUUAUUAUAUCAUACUAAAAUAUACUAUAUGGGCACACAACCUAACAACAUGUUUGCAAGAUGAUUUCUUAUAUAGUUUGUAAGUCUUUGACUAAGUCAAUGAUCGUAUAUAGUUUGUAAGUCUUUGGCUAAGUCGAUGAACAUCUUAUCUAGACUAAAAAGUCUCCUUCGAAGGUGUUUAAGGUGUAUUAUUUUUAGAAUAAAGCUAGGCGCUAGUUAGGAAGUGUUUUAAGGGACAAUGUUUUCAGAAUAAAGCUCGGCGCCAACUGUUGAAGAAGCAAAGCCCAUGUGUUUCACUACUCUGCAUUAAUGUUGUUCGUUUUGGCAGGUGAAUUAAGAAGGGACUUGCACUAUUUUUGAUACAAGUUCUUAAGCACUAAACUUGGAAUCAAGAAGGGCGAUCAAUAGCAUAUGACUUUAUGCAAGGCUAGCUUCGCAAAGGGGUAUCGACGCAAUGCAUCUAAAUAGAUAUUUCAAAAUAUAUUUAGUCUUUAUUUUUAUAAGCCGUAAUUAAAGCUAUUGCAAGUUUUGAGUCUUUCUAAUUUAUGUAUGGUACCCUAGAUGUCCCAACAAAACUAGUUGGAAAAUAUGCCUAGUUGUCGCCUCAUUAUCACAACUUUUAUUGUUUAUUGUUGAGGUGGACCGAUAAUUAAGAAAUCGAAGUAUGAUGAUAUAAGCCUCAUCCGUUAUAAAAGUAUUAAUCAUGAAUUGUCAUAUAUGGUCGUGUCUAUUGCAGAAAUGAACUAGG